GAUGAACGCUGGCGGCGUGCCUAAUACAUGCAAGUCGAGCGAACAGACGAGGAGCUUGCUCCUCUGACGUUAGCGGCGGACGGGUGAGUAACACGUGGAUAACCUACCUGUAAGACUGGGAUAACUUCGGGAAACCGGAGCUAAUACCGGAUAAUAUAUUGAACCGCAUGGUUCAAUAGUGAAAGACGGUUUUGCUGUCACUUAUAGAUGGAUCCGCGCCGCAUUAGCUAGUUGGUAAGGUAACGGCUUACCAAGGCAACGAUGCGUAGCCGACCUGAGAGGGUGAUCGGCCACACGGGAACUGAGACACGGUCCAGACUCCUACGGGAGGCAGCAGUAGGGAAUCUUCCGCAAUGGGCGAAAGCCUGACGGAGCAACGCCGCGUGAGUGAUGAAGGUCUUCGGAUCGUAAAACUCUGUUAUUAGGGAAGAACAAAUGUGUAAGUAACUAUGCACGUCUUGACGGUACCUAAUCAGAAAGCCACGGCUAACUACGUG
RNAcentral lists this ribosomal RNA (497 nucleotides) under uncultured bacterium. RNAcentral's name for it is "partial 16S ribosomal RNA". It matches the Rfam family "Bacterial small subunit ribosomal RNA", at positions 28 to 507 of the family's 1533-position model. The record is from RNAcentral.